CUCUACGAGACGCCGAGCUCUGCCACUCAAAGAGGGACGUCAGAACUUAUGGCAGAGACGGGGAAACCACUUUUGGCCGUGUUCGCACGGUCUUGGGGUGAAGUCCUGCAGCGCAGGGCCGGCCUUCUCAGCCGAAUCCGACAGCUCACCUCGCAGGCAAAAGAGAGGCAGU
Molecule: small RNA, 172 nt
Filed under: Arthrobacter sp.
Lineage: Bacteria; Bacillati; Actinomycetota; Actinomycetes; Micrococcales; Micrococcaceae
Description: c-di-AMP sequence
Rfam family: c-di-AMP riboswitch aptamer (ydaO/yuaA leader) (bases 29-172)
About the family: This family represents a conserved RNA structure found upstream of the ydaO and yuaA genes in Bacillus subtilis and related genes in other bacteria.
Source: RNAcentral